Molecule: signal recognition particle RNA, 280 nt
Filed under: Erinaceus europaeus (western European hedgehog)
Lineage: Eukaryota; Metazoa; Chordata; Mammalia; Eulipotyphla; Erinaceidae
Description: Metazoan signal recognition particle RNA
Rfam family: Metazoan signal recognition particle RNA
About the family: The signal recognition particle (SRP) is a universally conserved ribonucleoprotein. It is involved in the co-translational targeting of proteins to membranes. The eukaryotic SRP consists of a 300-nucleotide 7S RNA and six proteins: SRPs 72, 68, 54, 19, 14, and 9.
Source: Rfam by way of RNAcentral
ACUGGGCAUAGCGCCUGUAGUCCCAGCUACUUGGGAGGCUGAGGCUGGAGGAUCGGUGGAGCUCAGGAGUUCUGGGCUGCAGUGCGCUAUGCCGAUCGGGUGUCCGCACUAAGUUCGGCAGCAAUAUGGUGACCUCCCGGGAGUGGGGGACCACCAGGUUGCCUAAGGAGGGGUGAACCGGCCCAGGUCGGAAACGGAGCAGGUCAAAACUCCUGUGCUGAUCAGCAUAAGGAUCCCGGUUCGAGCCCCCAGCUCCCCACCUGCAGGGGAGUCGCUUCAC